Scatophagus argus is the source of this 1544-nucleotide long non-coding RNA. RefSeq lists it as uncharacterized. The record is from RefSeq and is a predicted model, not a curated record. Lineage: Eukaryota; Metazoa; Chordata; Actinopteri; Scatophagidae. The transcript has 3 exons.
GGAAAUCUAAAAUUCACUGGGGUUUUAAAUUGUAGAGUCAAAGUGUUGCUUUUUUUUCUUUUUUGAUGUGAUAAAGUUUUGAGAGCUAUACUCCAGCAUGUUCAAAAACCCAGUCUCCAAUCCACCACAUCUACAAUCGUGCACCUGGUUUAAAUACAGUGCUUCAUUUUGGCAACUUCAAUAUUUGCUGAAAUGAAGAUGUGGAGAACUUUUCGACCUUUUGGCUGAAAAUAAUUUCUCAUUUCUGAUGUCUUCCAACAUCAUAGUUAUUUAUCAUUUUACCGACUCGACUGACCGGCUUGUUCCUGGAUGCAUCACUUCUCCUGCAGAGUCUCACUGGUAUCAGCAGAAGCCAGGCUGACCCCCUGACCUGGAACCAGUGCUGCUCCAGAAACAACAAAUCAUAGUCAUGUUAAGUCUAAAACAUGAUGGAGGGAUUUAGUUUCUCAGACAGACUCUCAUCCAGAGUGCUCACAUUUCUAUUGUAUGAUUGUGUUUGAAGUUCUGGGCACCAUUCAUUUCACGCCCCAGGUGUCCGUUCUGAUUUGAGAGAGAUAAGGUGAAAUAUGAAAUUCACAACAGCAGAACACACAUGGUCUCCCUCAGAGAUGUGUCAUAGCUUGACUUCAGGUGUCUUUUCUUGGCAUCCUGUGACUGUAGACAGAUAUCACGGGAGCAGAGGUGUCAGCUACAGGGACCCCAACUCCAGCUCUCCCCUUGCUUUUCCUUUCCCUCCACCUGAUAUGAGUGAAGUGGAGGUGAAGGCUUCACCGCCCCCAUCCCCACAUCUCCCUCCCUCCCUCUCCUGUGGCAACAGUGGAGUGAAGAUGAUUGAUGUGCUCCGGUGGGAGUGGAGGUGUAGAGCCUGGAUCAUCAUCAGCCCUGGCACAGAGCAGAGAUCUCUGAGGACGCACCAAAGGGAGUUUUCUGUCAGGAAGGGAGCCAGCUAUGAAGACGGAAGCUGUUUAAAGUGGAGACAAAGCACCAGGUGCUACUGGGGACCAAUCUGCUCCACAACAAUGUGCUGGAGCUCAUCCAAUCUGCCCAAUAAGCUUCCACAGACACUCUGUGAGUGAAAGAAUGGAGGAGGAGCCCCAGUCUCCUGUCUUCCCACCUCAUUACCCACACCUGGAUAGGACUGCGGGGGAUUCUAAUUUAAGUCACUCGUUAGCAACGUCCUAAUGUGUUCUGACAGCAACAAGAGAAGGGGAUGGAGAAAAGGUGAAAGAGAAAGAUCGAAGGAGAAAGAGGGUGAGGGAGGGAGGGAGAAGAUGGGAGGAACAAAGGCACAGACAAUUGUCUUGACAAACAACUGCAGGACAGAAUACCAGGAGGAGGGGACGCGACUGUGCAAUACAAGAACUGUUCUUAUUUCUUGUUUUGAUUUCCAUAAAAUGAGCAUCAUCCUAAAUCAUCGGGGCCCUCCGCUGCUGGCCUCGUAUGCAUAAACCAUUAGAUUCCUUUGCUAAUGCACACAAACUAAUGAACACAAUAUCGUUUUCCACCACUGUAUGCCACAGCACAACAGGAAAUCAAAUAAAAGC